RNAcentral lists this small RNA (599 nucleotides) under Pan troglodytes (chimpanzee). Its description in RNAcentral is "retained intron". Lineage: Eukaryota; Metazoa; Chordata; Mammalia; Primates; Hominidae. The record is from RNAcentral.
AAGUAAUGGUACUUAAAUAAUUUAUUUUUCUUUUCCUUUUUUGAAGGCCCAAGGAGGUGAUAGCAUUUUGCAGAGAUUGAAAAGGAUAGUAUUUGAUGCCAAAUCUACUAUUGUGUCUAUAUUCAAGAGCUCACCACUGAUGGGCUGCUUUCUCUUUGGCCUGCCACUGGGUGUCAUCAGUAUCAUGUGCUAUGGAAUCUACACAGCCGACACAGAUGGAGGUUAUAUAGAAGAACGAUAUGAAGUGUCUAAAAGUGAAAAUGAAAACCAAGAACAGGUAGAAGAGAGCAAAGAACAGCAGGAGCCCAGCAGUGGAGGAUCUGUAGUGCCUACAGCGCAGGAGCCCAAGGAUGUAUUAGAAAAGAAGAAAGAUUGAGACUUGAUGACUAUAAAAUAUUUGAUAGGACUUCAAAUUAUUAAAGAGUCUAUUUAUUGAAUUUAGACAUUUAAUCAUGAUCUUUACAGAAAAGAACAUGUUAUUCGUAUUUUGCUAAUAUCAACUGCAUGGAUUAAAGUAGUCCCUCCAUACAUGGGGAAGUGUUUGGAGCAAAGAGAUGAACAGUUUAUCUGAAACAAACACAGAGCACUCCAUCAAAAUU